Molecule: ribosomal RNA, 253 nt
Filed under: uncultured bacterium
Lineage: Bacteria
Description: partial 16S ribosomal RNA
Rfam family: Bacterial small subunit ribosomal RNA
Source: RNAcentral
UACGUAGGUUGCGAGCGUUAAUCGGAAUUACUGGGCGUAAAGCGUGCGCAGGCGGUCUGCUAAGACAGGUGUGAAAUCCCUGGGCUCAACCUAGGAAUUGCGCUUGUGACUGGCGGGCUAGAGUACGGUAGAGGGGGGUGGAAUUCCUGGUGUAGCAGUGAAAUGCGUAGAGAUCAGGAGGAACACAGAUGGCGAAGGCAGCCCCCUGGGCCUGUACUGACGCUCAGGCACGAAAGCGUGGGGAGCAAACAGG